RNAcentral lists this long non-coding RNA (306 nucleotides) under Sinocyclocheilus grahami. Its description in RNAcentral is "lncRNA (ENSSGRG00000041086.1)". Lineage: Eukaryota; Metazoa; Chordata; Actinopteri; Cypriniformes; Cyprinidae. The record is from RNAcentral.
AUCUGAAUGUUGUAACAGCGGUAAACGCGAUGGCGGCAGCUGAAAUUCAGAACCAAACAUACGACGUCAUACACUGCCUAUUACAAAAUGAACUAUAUUUUGAUAUGGUGGAGCCUGAUGGUGCUGAAGAUGAGAACUCAUUUGACCCUGUAAAAAUAGCCUCAAAGCUCAGGGAACUGGGUGAUGAUUAUGAUGAGAGAGUGAUCCAGCCAUUGAUGAAGAAUGUACAGAAAGCUGCAGCCGAUCAGGUGAGUCGAGUCCAAACGUAUCAUCUUCAGACACCGAUCGACUAAUCUGAAGAACAUU